Molecule: long non-coding RNA, 588 nt
Organism: Chiroxiphia lanceolata (lance-tailed manakin)
Lineage: Eukaryota; Metazoa; Chordata; Aves; Passeriformes; Pipridae
Exons: 5
Source: RefSeq, a predicted model, not a curated record
CUCACAUCAGGUAUAUAAAAGCCACUGCCAGCAGCUGUGACCAUGGGCAGCUCCACUGUGACAUCAAAGGGUCCAGGAGGGACGAGGCGGAGUUUCCGUCUGGGACACAGGCUGUGAAGGCAGGUGCUCCCGGAGCUGGGACCCAUGGCAGUGCUGCAGCAGGACCCUCUUCUCCUUUCUUUGCAAACACCUUUCUGUGCAUAAACAAACACUUUCCAGCCUGCAUUGUCACCCCGAGAAGCCGAGUUUGGGCAGGAACAGGAGGUCCUUGAAGAUGCUGGGUCAGGAGAUGCCACACUUCUGGUGUCUCAUCCUUCUCGGGGGCCUCCUGCCCUCCUCCCAGGGCCUCCUCAACCUGCUGAACCCAAAGCAAGCCACAGGUGGUCUGCUUGGUACUGGUCUCAUGGGUGGAAAAGGCGGAUUGCUUGGCACAGGUGUUCUUGGUGAAGGUGGGCUGCUUGGCACUGGCCUCCUGGGCAAGGGAAGUCCAAGUGGAGCAGAAAGCGGAGCUCCCCUUGAAGCAGGAAAUGAACCCAGCAAAUCUGGGGUCCUUGGCACAGGCCUCCUAGGAGGACAACCUGGCAGCAG